RNAcentral lists this ribosomal RNA (817 nucleotides) under uncultured organism. RNAcentral's name for it is "bacterial SSU rRNA". It matches the Rfam family "Bacterial small subunit ribosomal RNA", at positions 505 to 1335 of the family's 1533-position model. The record is from RNAcentral.
GUGCCAGCAGCCGCGGUAAAACGUAGGGGGCAAGCGUUAUCCGGAUUUACUGGACGUAAAGAGCGUAGAGCGGUGUUUGAAAGUUGGGCGGGAAAAGCCCUGGGCUUAACUCAGGGAAGCCGUUCAAUACUGCGAAACUUGAGGGCAGCAGAGGGAGGUGGAAUUCCCGGAGUAGCGGUGAAAUGCGUAGAUAUCGGGAGGAACACCAGUGGCGAAGGCGGCCUCCUGGGCUGCUCCUGACGCUGAAGGCGAAAGCUAGGGGAGCGAACGGGAUUAGAAACCCCGGUAGUCCUAGCCGUAAACGAUGGAUGCUAGGUGUGGGGGGUGUAGAUUCCCUCCGUGCGGCAGUUAACGCGUUAAGCAUCCCGCCUGGGGAGUACGGCCGCAAGGCUAAAACUCAAACGAAUUGACGGGGGCCCGCACAAGCAGCGGAGCGUGUGGUUUAAUUGGACGCUACACGAAGAACCUUACCUGGGCUUGACAUACAGGUAGUAGUGAAGUGAAAGCGGAUCGACCUUUCGGGGAGCCUGUACAGGUGCUGCAUGGCUGUGGUCAGCUCGUGCCGUGAGGUGUCGGGUUAAGUCCCGUAACGAGCGCAACCCUUGCUCUUAGUUAUACGUGUCUAAGAGGACUGCCGGCGGUAAGCCGGAGGAAGGUGGGGAUGACGUCAAGUCAGCAUGGCCUUUAUGUCCAGGGCUACACACACGCUACAAUGGCCGGUACAAUGGGUAGCUAAACCGCGAGGUGGAGCCAAUCCUGAAAGCCGGUCUCAGUUCGAAUUGCAGGCUGCAACUCGCCUGCAUGAAGUCGGAGUUGC